GCAUUGGUGGUUCAAUGGUAGAAUUUUUGCCUUUUAUGCUGGAGACUCAGGUUUGAUUCCUGGCCAAUGCA
RNAcentral lists this transfer RNA (71 nucleotides) under Trichechus manatus latirostris (Florida manatee). RNAcentral's name for it is "tRNA-Lys (TTT) (tRNA-Lys-TTT-10-1)". It matches the Rfam family "tRNA". From Rfam's summary of the family: Transfer RNA (tRNA) molecules are approximately 80 nucleotides in length. Their secondary structure includes four short double-helical elements and three loops (D, anti-codon, and T loops). Lineage: Eukaryota; Metazoa; Chordata; Mammalia; Sirenia; Trichechidae. The record is from Rfam by way of RNAcentral.